This 436-nucleotide ribosomal RNA is filed under the name Cerastoderma edule. Its description in RNAcentral is "eukaryotic LSU rRNA". It matches the Rfam family "Eukaryotic large subunit ribosomal RNA", at positions 51 to 468 of the family's 3401-position model. Lineage: Eukaryota; Metazoa; Mollusca; Bivalvia; Cardiida; Cardiidae. The record is from RNAcentral.
CGGAUGACAAGAAACUAACGAGGAUUCCUCUAGUAACGGCGAGUGAAGCAGGAAAUAGCCCAGCACCGAAUCCCCUCUGCCCUCGCGUGGAGCGGGAAAUGUGGUGUUAGGGAGGCGCGCUGCGUUCGCGGUCUCGGUGCCCACGUCCUCGUGAUCGUGGCCCUUCGCCCCGUCGAGGGUGUAAGGCCCUUCGUGGCACCGGACUCACGACGUCCGCCAGCCUCCCGGGAGUCGGGUUGCUUGAGAUCGCAACCCAAAGUGGGUGGUAAACUCCAUCUAAGGCUAAAUACCGGACACGAGUCCGAUAGUACACAAGUACCGUGAGGGAAAGUUGAAACGAACUUUGAACAGAGAGUUCAACAGUACCUGAAACCGCACAGAGUCAAACGGGUGNAGCCACAUUUUCUCUCUCCCNGNGCAUUCANCCCGCUGCCNU